AUUUGGCUGUGCCAAAAUGGUCCUGGGAACAGAACCCAGAUGUGAACCCAGGCUGAAUUUCUGGGCAAGGGCUGCUCCACAACCAAAUCCUGCCCCUGGCUUGGCAAGACGUGGCUUGUGCUGAGAGGAACAUACCUUUGGGAUUGUCACGUGUGCUCCUGGUGUGUCACAACAGCCACAGCUGGGCCCUGCUGAGGGGAAAAUGAGCUAGAAUUGUGCUGGUUCCUAAAGAUCCAUCUAGAAACAGAACUUCUCCAUCCUUCUGGAUUAUUGUCUCACAUUUAUCCACUGGAAUUAAGACCUAUGCGUGGGAAAAGACAUCCAGGAGAGUGUUUGGAUGUUAUUUAGCACAGGGAGGCCGCAUUUCUGAACUGGUAGGGGCUGAUCCCAGGGCUCAGAGUGUCAAAUCCCCUCAGGUUUCCAGGUAAAAGUGUGGAUGCACUGCCUCUACCUGAGGAGCUUUGCAGUGCUGCUUUCCCAUCUCGGAUGAAGCAGGACGAGCACGGGAGCUGGAAGGACUUGAAGCCGCAGAGAGGACGUGGAAUUCUGUUGGCUGCUUGCAAGGAAAGGAAGGAAAACAUUCUCCACUCAGUUCCUCACACCUUCUGAAAAGGAUGAUGAAUGGGCUGGUUCUGCCUAAGGGAGUGUGUUCAAGCGCAAGAUGGAAGAGGCUGACAGUGUGCUACGAGGAGGUCAAAGCUGGGAAUCCACAGAUGGAGGGUGCAAAACAUAGCCAAAACCCCAGCAAGUUUCUGGCUCACAAUGGAUUGUGAAUAGAAGGAAUAAACAAUAAAGAGAAUCCUUAAAAACCCUCCA
Molecule: long non-coding RNA, 816 nt
Filed under: Cyanistes caeruleus (blue tit)
Lineage: Eukaryota; Metazoa; Chordata; Aves; Passeriformes; Paridae
Description: lncRNA (ENSCCEG00000007410.1)
Source: RNAcentral